This 417-nucleotide ribosomal RNA is filed under the name uncultured bacterium. RNAcentral describes it as "bacterial SSU rRNA". It matches the Rfam family "Bacterial small subunit ribosomal RNA", at positions 355 to 787 of the family's 1533-position model. The record is from RNAcentral.
UGGGGAAUAUUGGGCAAUGGGCGAAAGCCUGACCCAGCAACGCCGCGUGAAGGAAGAAGGCUUUCGGGUUGUAAACUUCUUUUCUCAGGGACGAAGCAAGUGACGGUACCUAGGAAUAAGCCACGGCUAACUACGUGCCAGCAGCCGCGGUAAUACGUAGGUGGCAAGCGUUAUCCGGAUUUACUGGGUGUAAAGGGCGUGUAGGCGGGACUGCAAGUCAGAUGUGAAAAACCAUGGGCUCAACCUGUGGCCUGCAUUGAAACUGUAGUUCUUGAGUACUGGAGAGGCAGAUGGAAUUCCUAGUGUAGCGGUGAAAUGCGUAGAUAUUAGGAGGAACACCAGUGGCGAAGGCGGUCUGCUGGACAGCAACUGACGCUGAGGCGCGAAAGCGUGGGGAGCAAACAGGAUUAGAUACCC